This 1339-nucleotide ribosomal RNA is filed under the name uncultured rumen bacterium. RNAcentral describes it as "bacterial SSU rRNA". It matches the Rfam family "Bacterial small subunit ribosomal RNA", at positions 43 to 1377 of the family's 1533-position model. The record is from RNAcentral.
CAGGCCUAACACAUGCAAGUCGAGGGGCAGCGCGGAGGUAGCAAUACUUCUGGCGGCGACCGGCGCACUGGUGAGUAACACGUAUGCGACCUGCCCCGGACAGGGGGAUAAACCCGGGAAACUGGGCCUAAUACCCCAUAUGUAUCGAGGAUGCAUGUCCUUGAUAUGAAAGAUCCGUCGGUCCGGGAUGGGCAUGCGGCGCAUUAGCUUGUUGGCGGGGCAACGGCCCACCAAGGCGACGAUGCGUAGGGGUUCUGAGAGGAAGGUCCCCCACAUUGGAACUGAGACACGGUCCAAACUCCUACGGGAGGCAGCAGUGAGGAAUAUUGGUCAAUGGACGGAAGUCUGAACCAGCCAAGUAGCGUGCAGGAUGACGGCCCUAUGGGUUGUAAACUGCUUUUAUACAGGGAUAAAGUGAGGGACGUGUCCCUUUUUGUAGGUACUGUAUGAAUAAGGACCGGCUAAUUCCGUGCCAGCAGCCGCGGUAAUACGGAAGGUCCGGGCGUUAUCCGGAUUUAUUGGGUUUAAAGGGAGCGCAGGCUGAUGAUUAAGCGUGACGUGAAAUGUAGCCGCUCAACGGCUGAACUGCGUCGCAAACUGGUUAUCUUGAGUGAGUUCGAUGUUGGCGGAAUUCGUGGUGUAGCGGUGAAAUGCUUAGAUAUCACGAAGAACUCCGAUUGCGAAGGCAGCCAACAAGGCCUUUACUGACGCUAAAGCUCGAAGGUGCGGGUAUCGAACAGGAUUAGAUACCCUGGUAGUCCGCACGGUAAACGAUGGAKBGCCCBBUGUUBGVGAUAUACUGUGAGCGGCCAAGAGAAAUCGUBAASCAUCCVDCCUGGGGAGUACGCCGGCAACGGUGAAACUCAAAGGAAUUGACGGGGGCCCGCACAAGCGGAGGAACAUGUGGUUUAAUUCGAUGAUACGCGAGGAACCUUACCCGGGCUUGAACUGCAGGAGAACGAUACAGAGAUGUUGAGGCCCUUCGGGGCUCCUGUGGAGGUGCUGCAUGGUUGUCGUCAGCUCGUGCCGUGAGGUGUCGGCUUAAGUGCCAUAACGAGCGCAACCCUUUUCAUUAGUUGCCAUCAGGUAAUGCUGGGCACUCUGGUGAUACUGCCACCGUAAGGUGUGAGGAAGGUGGGGAUGACGUCAAAUCAGCACGGCCCUUACGUCCGGGGCUACACACGUGUUACAAUGGGGGGUACAGAAGGCGGGAUCAAUGCAAAUUGGUUCAAAUCUUAAAAGCCCUCCUCAGUUCGGAUUGGGGUCUGCAACCCGACCCCAUGAAGCUGGAUUCGCUAGUAAUCGCGCAUCAGCCAUGGCGCGGUGAAUACGUUCCCGG